UGCGUAGGGUGCGAGCGUUAAUCGGAAUUACUGGGCGUAAAGCGUGCGCAGGCGGUUUUGUAAGCCAGAUGUGAAAUCCCCGGGCUUAACCUGGGAAUGGCAUUUGGGACUGCAAGGCUUGAGUGCGGCAGAGGAGACUGGAAUUCCUGGUGUAGCAGUGAAAUGCGUAGAUAUCAGGAGGAAUACCGAUGGCGAAGGCAGGUCUCUGGGCUGAUACUGACGCUCAUGCACGAAAGCGUGGGGAGCAAACAGG
Molecule: ribosomal RNA, 253 nt
Filed under: uncultured bacterium
Lineage: Bacteria
Description: partial 16S ribosomal RNA
Rfam family: Bacterial small subunit ribosomal RNA
Source: RNAcentral